Molecule: ribosomal RNA, 245 nt
Filed under: uncultured bacterium
Lineage: Bacteria
Description: partial 16S ribosomal RNA
Rfam family: Bacterial small subunit ribosomal RNA
Source: RNAcentral
UACGGAGGGUGCAAGCGUUGUCCGGAAUCAUUGGGCGUAAAGAGUUCGUAGGUGGUAUGUUAAGUCUGGUGUUAAAGCCCGAAGCUCAACUUCGGUUCGGCACUGGAUACUGGCAAACUUGAAUGUGGUAGAGGUAAAGGGAAUUCCUGGUGUAGCGGUGAAAUGCGUAGAUAUCAGGAGGAACAUCGGUGGCGAAAGCGCUUUACUGGGCCAUUAUUGACACUGAGGAACGAAAGCCGGGGUAG